GUAUUGCCGUCCCCAUAGGCGCACACACACAUACACACGCACGCACGUGACACAUGCACAGCAGCUGGGGAGCUGGUGUUCACGCCUCUUUGCAGCUCACGGCCUGUGCGUGCCGAGCACCCAGAGCACCCUCCCCUGUGCUCCCGGGGGAAGGGGGGUGCCCAGUGGGGCAUCCCUGAAGCGACCUGUGACCCUCGCUGGACCCUGCAGGCCGAGCUGGAGACACACUGAGUGGCUCUGUCCUCUGAGCACCCCUGUCGGGCUCCAGGCCGACCACAGGCCGCCCGCGACCGGCCCCUUUCUCCAGCCGUUCAAGAACUAUCGAUUGGGCCGAAAGCCUCUGGCGGCGUUUUCAGUCCUGGUCACCUUCCUGGGUUUGGGUACGUCCCAAUCUCUUCAUUAGGCAUUCACACAGCCUCGGAGGGAGUGGAUCUUUUCUAUA
Molecule: long non-coding RNA, 442 nt
Organism: Pipistrellus kuhlii (Kuhl's pipistrelle)
Lineage: Eukaryota; Metazoa; Chordata; Mammalia; Chiroptera; Vespertilionidae
Exons: 3
Source: RefSeq, a predicted model, not a curated record